RNAcentral lists this ribosomal RNA (20 nucleotides) under Echinopora mammiformis. Its description in RNAcentral is "partial 28S ribosomal RNA". Lineage: Eukaryota; Metazoa; Cnidaria; Anthozoa; Scleractinia; Merulinidae. The record is from RNAcentral.
GACCUCAGAUCAGGCAAGGC